GGGGUUGUACUGGUUUCGACGGGGAUUUUGAAGUUAGAGAAGCCAUCCGCGGGCCGGGACCGCGCAGUAAUCCGGAAUUAAAUAUAAACGCAAACGAUAAUUUUGCAUACGCUGCCUAAUGGCAGCUGUCGACCUUAAGUCGCUCACUGCUUAAGAGUUCGGCAUCGACCUGGUGAGGCACUUCGCUCCCUAAGCUUUGCGGGAGUGGAAGAAUCAUGAAGCUACUGAAGUGGAAAGCCCGUCUUUAGGCGUUCCAUGGAGGGAAUGGCGAAAGCAUAAAAUGAAGACUGUGAUGGGAGAUACUCUGAUGGAAGGGUUUUCGGACAGGGGUUCGAUUCCCCUCAGCUCCAUAU
Molecule: transfer-messenger RNA, 353 nt
Filed under: Lachnospiraceae bacterium
Lineage: Bacteria; Bacillati; Bacillota; Clostridia; Lachnospirales; Lachnospiraceae
Rfam family: transfer-messenger RNA
About the family: Bacterial tmRNA, also known as 10Sa RNA or SsrA, is named for its dual tRNA and mRNA-like properties. Its role is to liberate the mRNA from a stalled ribosome.
Source: RNAcentral